AUGGAGAUGAGCUCAGAGUGGGCUGCCGUUCACAGCAGCCCACAAGAGAGGUCCUGUCUCAAGCAAGGUGGAAGACAGGGACUAACAUCCAAGCUGGUUCUCUGACCUCCAUCCCCACCAAGGCCGUGGCGCAUCCAUGCCCACAUGAGCUCACACACACAGUUUUAAAAAUGGACUUGACUGGAAGCAUCCCUUCAGGAGUUUCUGGAGAAUCUCGAAGCUCACCACGUUGGGUCAGGCGAGGCUUGAAUUUGCCGAGCGUUUGCAGCAUUGUCUGACAGAAAAUAAAUGUCCUGUGAGCAUCUCUGAAAUUAACAUCAUUAGUAUCCAGACCUCUGACUUUGCCUCUGUUCCUCAGUUUCUCAUCCAUGUCACGGGGAAGGGACAGAAUGAGAUAAGGCAUUCAAGCUAAGCCCAUGGAGGUGUUUUCUCUGAGCCACAUCUUAAUCAUAGUCUGUCCUGUAAAUGGAGUUGAGCUUUAUGUGUAGAAAUGCCUGCUUUUGUACGACCCUCUUACUUCAGUCUUGAAAUAAAUAAUUUUUUGGUUUA
Long non-coding RNA from Peromyscus eremicus (cactus mouse), 549 nucleotides. RefSeq lists it as uncharacterized. The record is from RefSeq and is a predicted model, not a curated record. Lineage: Eukaryota; Metazoa; Chordata; Mammalia; Rodentia; Cricetidae. The transcript has 3 exons.